UUCUAAAUACAAUGUACGUUUCUGAGGGU
RNAcentral lists this non-coding RNA (29 nucleotides) under Mus musculus (house mouse). RNAcentral also lists the same sequence under 1 other name. Lineage: Eukaryota; Metazoa; Chordata; Mammalia; Rodentia; Muridae. The record is from RNAcentral.